CAGACAGCUGAACUUCAGAGGAAGCACUGCACUUGUCCUGCAGAGAUCAGUUGCUAGAGGGGACUUUAAACGUGAGGUCAGUCUAAUUGCUGUAUUUUUGAGCUUUACAGAAUGGCUAAUUUCACUUGACUCUUGGGAGGUGGGGUUAGGGUUUUUAGUUGUGCAAUUAGGAGACCUGAAGUGCCUGCACUGUUUCUAGAAAAAUGUGGCUAAAAAACAGGUCUGGGAUUCUGACUGUAUUUUCUUUGCCUGCCCUUUUUUGGCCCUAGAAUUGACUAUCUGUGUCUGCUGCAGCUGGAGAUGCCCUGUCAGCUGGAGAGGCAGAAGAUAAAGGGGAGGCAGAGAUAUGUCUGUGUUGGUGCUCUGGAUAUUCUUCAGACAUCCCACUCCAGCCUACGUACAGAAAAAGCAAGAUCUUCACAGCAAAAUUCACAUGUAGAAAUAUGAUUGCAGAGAAUUAUAGAACUAUUUGUGAGGUUUGCAAAGUACUGCAGAAAAGUAAUAAAUAAGUCAAAGAGUAAGGAUAAGCUACACUAUUCAACAACUCAUUUCUUAUAUUUUAGUAAUUUUAACAUAAAGCUGUUUCAGCAAUAAGCAAAAUUUGUUUCAAGUAUUUUAGUAUAAAUGUAUUUACUUUAACAGAAAAAAAUAAAAAUCCUUGACCUUUUUUGC
Non-coding RNA from Lonchura striata (white-rumped munia), 672 nucleotides. Lineage: Eukaryota; Metazoa; Chordata; Aves; Passeriformes; Estrildidae. The record is from RefSeq and is a predicted model, not a curated record.